Molecule: long non-coding RNA, 1578 nt
Organism: Betta splendens (Siamese fighting fish)
Lineage: Eukaryota; Metazoa; Chordata; Actinopteri; Anabantiformes; Osphronemidae
Source: Ensembl
GAAACAUUCUCUGUGUGUACUUUUAACAAAACAGGAAAAAUAAUGGUUGGCUCGGACUUACAGGGUGAGGGGUCCUAGAGGUGCAGUCAGUUAAUAGAGCUGGACAUCAAAUAACAUGCUGUUUUAUACAAGCCAGGUUGUUACAGUGUUUAGCAUGUUUUUAUAUAGAUCUUUGUUAAGAAUAGAAAUGACAUUAAGUCAAUACACCCCGUAAAAUGUGUGAGAACCUGAUGCGAGGCUAAAACGUUAACAGCGCUUCAUUUGCUGCUGAAGAAUGAGUGAUAAAACCCGGGGGAGUGGGAGGAAAUGCGCCGUUUGACCACGAGGGGGCAGCAUAGCAACACACGAUUGGUUUUACAAUGUUGAUUUUUUUAACCUUUAUGUUGAAAAAGUAAGUUCAGUGAGGACAUUAUUGCAUAUAGCUAUCUAUGAUAAUGAAAAUAUAUUAGUUUAUACUUUCGGCUUUGAUAAUAUCAAUGACGCCUACUAGUGAAAAGGUUUGACUUAAUUACGUUUCAUUCUUAUAUAUAAGAAUGCAGGCAGUAAAAUAUUGCGCUAACCUGUCUAUAAAGCGUAGGAGGGCCCGUCAUCCUUCAGGCGAUCAUCGGUUUGUUCGUGGAUGAGACGUGGGGUGGCGGCAGACAACGGGUUAACGCGGCCGCAGGCUGUGAUUGGCCGCGGCCGCAGCGCUGGGACGGACGCUGCGUCUCCGCCGUGUGCGCACUGGAAAAGUCAGUGAGUGGACCCAAGUGUUCCAGACGCGUUUCCAGCCCGGUCCACGGUCGUUGUCGUCGUGGUCCUCGGGUCCGUCUGGCCUCGUUCGUGCUGGUGAGCGCGUGGAGGUCCGUUUGAGGUUCGGUGGGACGGCGACCACCGUCACUUUGAUUCAUGGACUCGACCCGGACCUCAGCUCAAAACAUUAUUAUCACGGGGCGGACACACUGCUGACUUCAUUCAUUUCAUAUCCAGGGAACAUGAAGUUGCCCUUGGGCACCAUGUGCGUCCUGAAGACCGUGCUCUUCAUCUUUGGGGCCGUUUUACUCACUGACUGUGCGAGAGGUGAGUUCUCUCCUCCCUACUAAUAUUGAGUUGGUCCUGGAUGGGAACCAGGUCCAGCCGAGCCGAGCUGGCCGCCUGGUUUCUUGUGGGCAUGAGGAAAGUCUCAGUUGGCUCUCAGUGUUUUCUCACCGAGAAGUUAGAGGUGGAAAACGAAGAAGUGAAAGAAUGUCUCUAAAGGAAGCCCAAAAUCAACACACGGCGGGGGAACGAGGGAGGGCAGAGCAGCCGCUGCCCCCAGUGUGUGUGUGUGUGUGUGUGUGUGUGUGUGUGUGUGUGUGUGUGUGUGUGUGUGUGUGUGUGUGUGUGUGUGUGUGUGUGUGUGUGCGUGCGCGCAGCUAAACCAAACAAACAUCAUCCAUCAGCUUCCCGGGGCGAAAGAACACGAGUCAGUGUGUGAGUCCACGUCUCCUGCCGCUUGUCUCACAUCGGGCCCCGACGCAGAACCAGAAUCCACAGCUCGGUUUAUUGUACCAGCGUCCGCUUACAGCGGGCUCCUCCGCCGGUUCACGCACUCUCCCC